CCUACGGGUGGCAGCAGUCGAGAAUCAUUCACAAUGGGGGAAACCCUGAUGGUGCGACGCCGCGUGGGGGAAUGCAGGUCUUCGGAUUGUAAACCCCUGUCAUGCGGGAGCAAAUUAAAAAGAUAGUACCACACGAGGAAGAGACGGCUAACUCUGUGCCAGCAGCCGCGGUAAUACAGAGGUCUCAAGCGUUGUUCGGAAUCACUGGGCGUAAAGCGUGCGUAGGCUGUUGCGUAAGUCGUGUGUGAAAGGCGCGGGCUCAACCCGCGGACGGCACAUGAUACUGCGAGACUAGAGUGAUGGAGGGGGAACCGGAAUUCGCGGUGUAGCAGUGAAAUGCGUAGAUAGCGAGAGGAACACUCGUGGCGAAGGCGGGUUCCUGGACAUUAACUGACGCUGAGGCACGAAGGCCAGGGGAGCGAAAGGGAUUAGAUACCCCGGUAGUC
This 446-nucleotide ribosomal RNA is filed under the name uncultured bacterium. Its description in RNAcentral is "partial 16S ribosomal RNA". It matches the Rfam family "Bacterial small subunit ribosomal RNA", at positions 338 to 795 of the family's 1533-position model. The record is from RNAcentral.